CGCUAACGGCCGCGGCGGGGCGGGGCGGUGAGGGGCGGCCCCCGCCUGAGGCGAGGAGGCGGCACCGGGGCUUCGUGGGGCUCGAAUGUUUUUUUUUGGGAGCUUUCUCGUAUCGGGGCGCCCACCCCCGUGUUUGGUGCCAAGUGAAAGGGCGAGCUCAGGGCGCUGUUGGCCGCCAGCGCUGUCCCUUCGGGUCUGGUCAGCCCAGCCCGUUAUGUUCCGUCAGGAAGCCAGUGCCCGACCCCAGCACAUGCUUUAGCCCAGCCCAAGUACAGGACUCCACGUUUCGUUGCUGGUUUCAGUCAGAUUCCUCUCAGCACCGUGCCUUUUAGGGUGCCCUGGUCUCUGAACGGCAGCCCUGCCCCUGAGUGCAGUGCCUGCACCCUCUGCUAACGGGGAUUAGCACAGCCAAGCUCCAAAACCUGGUAAAUCGACCAGAAUAAAGCGGAGAAAACCACUGUAAAGGUCUGAUCUGCUUUCCUGCCGCAUACAGGCUGUAGUCUUCAGCCAAGAUUUCAGAAAAUUCCUACUUGGCUUGUGAUGAAUUCUCUGAAAGUUACUCCACAGGUAUUCAAAAACUACCUGCUGCUACCAAAGAAGAUUUUUCACUGAUAGCUUCCCAGCAUUGAGAGCCCUGUCUUUGUGAGCUGUAAGCUUCCUGCUGCCACAAUUAAUGCCAGCUGAGAAUUGAAAAGAUACUUGGCUACUGAGGUGAAAAUUUGCCAAAGGCUGAAAAAACAAAGCACCAGGGUACUGGUGCUCAGUAUACUUCUGAUGGUCAAAGGCAUCCAUCUCCAGGGAGCAGAGAUGCCAGAGAAAACCUGGUUCAGGAAGCAUAUGAUGCCUGUGUGGGAGCUAGAGAAACUGCUUGCUUGCUGGCUUUGAAAAGAUGACUGCUGCAGGAGAACUGGGACAGAAAGAAUGAGAUUUGGAACCAGAAGCCCAGCCUGUUCCUGGUGAAACGUCUCUAUUGGUAUCUUCACAUAUCUACCAAGACAUAAAAUGGACAGGCAGGAAGUCAUUUGCUAGCCUUAUGUAAUAUCCAGUCCUGCAAAGAAGCGCAUUCUGGGGGGUUGCUCUACCCACACAGCACUCCACCAUGCAGGCAUGCCUCCGCAUCUUUGCAUAACUCAAGCUUAGACCUCCUACAAGAUCAUCUCCCACCUCUAGAGCGCAUCUGUUCAUUUUCUGCCUGUCAAACCUCUUCAGAAUUUAAAAGUUGCAAGUUGUAAGAGAUAGAGAACAAGCUCUCAAGUUUGAGUACAUCAGUUCAGGACAGAUCUGAUAAGAAAUGUUUUUAUUUUUAUUUCUAAAAUGGAACUCUGCUGCUGGGUAAGGAACUGUCUCUUGCAACAUAUUGUUCCUCAACAAUAAAAAAAAAAAAAAUCUAAGGCAGAAGUACAAUUCUCUUUUUAGAUCUGACACCUCCAAAGCCUGAUAUAUGUGGCUGGGUGAGCUACAUGAAAAGGUAUUAUUAGGUUUUUAUUAGAUUAUGAUGCAAGCUCAACCUGGCUAGGCAUGUCAGACUGUAAAUCUAGUGCAAACAUCUGUGGCCAAAUUUCAUUUUCAUUCAUGGUGAUGUUUGCAGACAUUAUUCCUUUCUGCUGUAAAACUGGUUCCAUUCUAACAACUGUUAGAAGGGCAGAGGUAUGUGUAGGGCAAUGUUUAUAAUGUAAACAGUCAUUGAUGUAAAACGAUUCUGACUGUGCUCCUGAACUAAAUCACAAAUAAUGCUUAUAAAGGCAAAGGAAUUAUUCUUGCUUACAAUACAUGAAACCAAAGUUCAGGCCUUUAUCACAAUAGAGGGUAGGGCUUGUUGGAUAUGGCACGGAUAUUUAUUUAUACAUGUCUUUUUACCAUCAGUGACUUCUUAUAGAUAGCUGCCAGAAGGGAGCAGAAAGCAGGCUAAGUGUGGUGUUAAAAGAAUUAAUCAAACUGUUGAAGCCAGAUAGACAUGGACAACUUCCAUUUUCAACAGGGACUGCACAAGAAUUGGGUUUCUGAAAGCUGCACUGGGUACUGAAGACACUUGAAGUGCUUUUUCCAUUCCAGAGAGUGACAGUCUCGCUAACAGUAGGCAGCUCUCUUUGCAGUGUGUCACACUCACUUUAUACCUGCUCUGAAUGCUGC
Long non-coding RNA from Anas platyrhynchos (mallard), 2130 nucleotides. RefSeq lists it as uncharacterized. The record is from RefSeq and is a predicted model, not a curated record. NCBI's taxonomy places the organism in Eukaryota, Metazoa, Chordata, Aves, Anseriformes, Anatidae.